Herpailurus yagouaroundi (jaguarundi) is the source of this 307-nucleotide long non-coding RNA. RefSeq lists it as uncharacterized. The record is from RefSeq and is a predicted model, not a curated record. The transcript is spliced from 2 exons. Lineage: Eukaryota; Metazoa; Chordata; Mammalia; Carnivora; Felidae.
CGCAGGUUGAAGGAAGCCCCCGCCCCGAAACCGGCGACGGGGCGGGGCGUGAGUAAGCCCCGCCCCACCGCGUAGACCGCUUCCUUCUGCAAGCAGCCAGGAGGGAAAACGAAUCUUGGAAUACAAAGUUUUGAAUCAUGCAAAGUUUACAGAAGGCAUCCUUCCUGGAAAAUGUGACUUUCCUGGACCUCCCCAGCUAUACUGGCAUAAAUACAGCACCUGGAGUCUGCUCUUGGAAAGAGAAUGUUAUGAGCUGAAUUGUGUCCUGUGAAUUAAUAGAAAAUAUAUAUUUCAUCUAUGCCCUCAG